RNAcentral lists this ribosomal RNA (253 nucleotides) under uncultured prokaryote. RNAcentral's name for it is "partial 16S ribosomal RNA". It matches the Rfam family "Bacterial small subunit ribosomal RNA", at positions 525 to 777 of the family's 1533-position model. The record is from RNAcentral.
ACGGAGGGUGCGAGCGUUGUCCGGAAUCACUGGGCGUAAAGGGCGCGUAGGCGGUGGGGUAAGCGUGUGGUGAAAGUCCGGGGCUCAACCCCGGAUCGGCCGUGCGAACUGCUUCACUUGAGCACUGUAGAGGCAGGUGGAAUUCCGGGUGUAGCGGUGGAAUGCGUAGAGAUCCGGAAGAACACCGGUGGCGAAGGCGGCCUGCUGGGCAGUGGCUGACGCUGAGGCGCGACAGCGUGGGGAGCAAACAGGA